RNAcentral lists this ribosomal RNA (405 nucleotides) under uncultured bacterium. Its description in RNAcentral is "partial 16S ribosomal RNA". It matches the Rfam family "Bacterial small subunit ribosomal RNA", at positions 28 to 526 of the family's 1533-position model. The record is from RNAcentral.
GAUGAACGCUGGCGGCGUGCCUAAUACAUGCAAGUCGAGCGCAGCGGGGACGGGUGAGGAACACGUGGAAACCCUCCUAUAAGACUGGGUUAACUUCGGGAAACCGUAGCUAAACGGGAUAUUUAUAGAUCGAUCCGCGGUGCAUUCGCUAGUUGGUAAGGUAACGGCUUACAAAGGCCACGAUGCAUAGCCGACCUGAGAGGGUGAUCGGCCACACUGGGACUGAGACACGGUCCAGACUCCUACGGGAGGUAGCAGUAGGGAAUCUUCCGCAAUGGGCGAAAGCCUGACCGAGCAACGCCGCGUGAGUGAUGAAGGUCUUCGGAUCGUAAAACUCUGUUAUUAGGGAAGCGGUACCUAACCAGAAAGCCACGGCUAACUACGUGCCAGCCGCCGCGGUAAUUC